AGUCCGGAUUGGAGUCUGCAACUCGACUCCAUGAAGUCGGAAUCGCUAGUAAUCGUGGAUCAGAAUGCCACGGUGAAUACGUUCCCGGGCCUUGUACACACCGCCCGUCACACCAUGGGAGUGGGUUACAAAAGAAGUAGGUAGCUUAACCUUCGGGAGGGCGCUUACCACUUUGUGAUUCAUGACUGGGGUGAAGUCGUAACAAGGUAACCGUAGGGGAACCUGCGGUUGGAUCACCUCCUUA
RNAcentral lists this ribosomal RNA (244 nucleotides) under Salmonella enterica subsp. enterica serovar Derby. Its description in RNAcentral is "partial 16S ribosomal RNA". It matches the Rfam family "Bacterial small subunit ribosomal RNA", at positions 1290 to 1533 of the family's 1533-position model. RNAcentral also lists the same sequence under 4 other names. Lineage: Bacteria; Pseudomonadati; Pseudomonadota; Gammaproteobacteria; Enterobacterales; Enterobacteriaceae. The record is from RNAcentral.